This is a small nuclear RNA of Chiloscyllium plagiosum (whitespotted bambooshark), 103 nucleotides long. NCBI's taxonomy places the organism in Eukaryota, Metazoa, Chordata, Chondrichthyes, Orectolobiformes, Hemiscylliidae. The record is from RefSeq and is a predicted model, not a curated record.
GAAAUUCAAGAUAGCACAUAUAGUAACAUUGGAACGAUAUAGAGAAGAUUAGCAUGGCCCCUGUGCAAGGAUGACGUAAACUUGUAAAGCGUUCAACCUCUUU